This 475-nucleotide ribosomal RNA is filed under the name bacterium 2611-S5-05B-1.2. RNAcentral's name for it is "bacterial SSU rRNA". It matches the Rfam family "Bacterial small subunit ribosomal RNA", at positions 60 to 514 of the family's 1533-position model. The record is from RNAcentral.
AGUCGAGCGGCAGCGACAUCAACAAUCCUUCGGGUGCGUUGAUGGGCGGCGAGCGGCGGACGGGUGAGUAAUGCCUGGGAACAUGCCUUAGUGUGGGGGAUAACCAUUGGAAACGAUGGCUAAUACCGCAUAAUGUCUUCGGACCAAAGCGGGGGACCUUCGGGCCUCGCGCGCUAAGAUUGGCCCAGGUGGGAUUAGCUAGUAGGUGGGGUAACGGCUCACCUAGGCGACGAUCCCUAGCUGGUCUGAGAGGAUGAUCAGCCACACUGGAACUGAGACACGGUCCAGACUCCUACGGGAGGCAGCAGUGGGGAAUAUUGCACAAUGGGGGAAACCCUGAUGCAGCCAUGCCGCGUGUGUGAAGAAGGCCUUCGGGUUGUAAAGCACUUUCAGCAGUGAGGAAGAGGUGGUGUUUAAUAGAUGCCAUCUUUGACGUUAGCUGCAGAAGAAGCACCGGCUAACUCCGUGCCAGCCG